RNAcentral lists this non-coding RNA (89 nucleotides) under Pseudomonas lini. The record is from RNAcentral. Lineage: Bacteria; Pseudomonadati; Pseudomonadota; Gammaproteobacteria; Pseudomonadales; Pseudomonadaceae.
CUCAAUGGCAGCUGUGCGCAGGGCACCUUCGGGUGCGCCGGUAAAGCUUUGGUACCCGGUCGACUAACCUGCCUACAGCUGCCACCCCC